AUACGUAGGGGGCGAGCGUUGUCCGGAAUGAUUGGGCGUAAAGGGCGCGUAGGCGGCCCGGUAAGUCUGGAGUGAAAGUCCUGUUUUUAAGAUGGGAAUUGCUAUGGAUACUGUCGGGCUUGAGUGCAGGAGAGGAAAGUGGAAUUCCCAGUGUAGCGGCGAAAUGCGUAGAGAUUGGGAGGAGCACCAGUGGCGAAGGCGACUUACUGGACUGUAACUGACGCUGAGGCGCGAAAGUGUGGGGAGUAAACAGGAAUAGAUACCCUGGUAGUCCACACUGUAAACGAUGAAUGCUAGGUUUAGGGGGUAUCGACCCCUUCUGUGCCGCAGUCAACACAAUAAGCAUUCCGCCUGGGGAGUACGGCCGCAAGGUUGAAACUCAAAGGAAUUGACGGGG
RNAcentral lists this ribosomal RNA (397 nucleotides) under uncultured bacterium. RNAcentral describes it as "partial 16S ribosomal RNA". It matches the Rfam family "Bacterial small subunit ribosomal RNA", at positions 523 to 918 of the family's 1533-position model. The record is from RNAcentral.